CGCGACCCCUCGCGUGGCGUCACCCUGUGAACCUCCCCAGGGCCGGAAGGCAGCAAGGAUAAGCGGGCUCUGGCGGGUGCGCGGGGGGUCCUCUGC
RNAcentral lists this signal recognition particle RNA (96 nucleotides) under Blastococcus sp. TF02-8. Its description in RNAcentral is "Bacterial small signal recognition particle RNA". It matches the Rfam family "Bacterial small signal recognition particle RNA". Rfam says of the family: The signal recognition particle (SRP) is a universally conserved ribonucleoprotein involved in the co-translational targeting of proteins to membranes. Archaeal SRP consists of a 7S RNA and homologues of the eukaryotic SRP19 and SRP54 proteins. The record is from Rfam by way of RNAcentral. Lineage: Bacteria; Bacillati; Actinomycetota; Actinomycetes; Geodermatophilales; Geodermatophilaceae.